Molecule: ribosomal RNA, 396 nt
Filed under: Astarte borealis
Lineage: Eukaryota; Metazoa; Mollusca; Bivalvia; Carditida; Astartidae
Description: SSU rRNA
Rfam family: Eukaryotic small subunit ribosomal RNA
Source: RNAcentral
CUGGUGCCAGCAGCCGCGGUAAUUCCAGCUCCAAUAGCGUAUAUUAAAGUUGUUGCAGUUAAAAAGCUCGUAGUUGGAUCUCAGGUCCAGGCUUGCGGUCCACCUUGCGGUGGUUACUGCUCGUCCUGACCUACCUCCUGGUUUUCCCUUGGUGCUCUUGACUGAGUGUCUCGGGUGGCCAGAACGUUUACUUUGAAAAAAUUAGAGUGUUCAAAGCAGGCAAUUCGCCUGAAUAAUGGUGCAUGGAAUAAUGGAAUAGGACCUCGGUUCUAUUUUGUUGGUUUUCGGAACUUGAGGUAAUGAUUAAGAGGGACAGACGGGGGCAUUCGUAUUACGGUGUUAGAGGUGAAAUUCUUGGAUCGCCGUAAGACGAACUACUGCGAAAGCAUUUGCCAA